GACGAACGCUGGCGGCGUGCUUAACACAUGCAAGUCGAACGGAAAGGCGCUGCUCUUGUGGGGCGCUCGAUAGGCGAACGGGUGAGUAAAACGCGAGUAACCUGUCCUUGACUUUGGGAUAACUUUAGGAAACUGGGGCUAAUACCGGAUAGGAUCUCCUGAUGCAUGGGGGGGGUUGGAAAGUUUCGGCGGUUGGGGCUGGACUCGAGGCUUAUCAGCUUGAUGGUGGAGUAGUGGCGUACCAAGGGUUUGACGGAUAGCCGGCCUUAGAGGGUGACCGGCGACAUGGGUACUAAGAUACGGCCCAGACUCCUACGGGCGGCAGCGGUGGGGAAUAUUGCGGAAUGGGCGGACGCCUGAUGCAGCAACCCCCCGUGCGGGAUAACGGCCUUCGGGUGGUAAACAGAUUUGGCCGGUGACGAAGCGUGAGUGACGGUAAUGGGUAAGAAAGCACCGGCUAACUACGUG
RNAcentral lists this ribosomal RNA (468 nucleotides) under uncultured bacterium. RNAcentral's name for it is "partial 16S ribosomal RNA". It matches the Rfam family "Bacterial small subunit ribosomal RNA", at positions 28 to 507 of the family's 1533-position model. The record is from RNAcentral.